Salvelinus fontinalis (brook trout) is the source of this 376-nucleotide long non-coding RNA. RefSeq lists it as uncharacterized. NCBI's taxonomy places the organism in Eukaryota, Metazoa, Chordata, Actinopteri, Salmoniformes, Salmonidae. The record is from RefSeq and is a predicted model, not a curated record. The transcript has 2 exons.
ACAAACCAGAUGUGAGUGAGAUCGCUCAGUUUGACAAGACUAAACUGAAGAAGACUGAGACUGAGGAGAAGAACACUCUACCUACCAAAGAGGGUAAAUACAAUGCCUUAGUAGCCACUGGAUUUACUAUGAAAUCUGAUGGCAACAAUGUCUGCAACUAGGACUACUAGACCCUGAAAUAAGGCACUCUGAUGGGUAUGCCAUCUUGAAUUUGGUCAUUGACCAGGAGAAGCAGGUGGAAUCCUAAAAUGGCUGCUGUCAUCAUUCCUCACUCACAAGCUACAUCCCAGAGGGACUGUCUCUCAACCUGAACUCUCCAUUCUGGAAUGGAUCCUCAUGGCUGAUUUACUGAUUUAAUAAAAGCCAUGUAGACUAA